RNAcentral lists this ribosomal RNA (489 nucleotides) under uncultured bacterium. RNAcentral's name for it is "partial 16S ribosomal RNA". It matches the Rfam family "Bacterial small subunit ribosomal RNA", at positions 29 to 507 of the family's 1533-position model. The record is from RNAcentral.
AUGAACGCUAGCGAUAGGCUUAACACAUGCAAGUCGAGGGGCAGCAUGGUCUUAGCUUGCUAAGGCUGAUGGCGACCGGCGCACGGGUGCGUAACGCGUAUGCAACUUGCCUCACAGAGGGGGAUAACCCGUCGAAAGACGGACUAAUACCGCGUACACUCUAUGUUGGGCAUCCAAUGUAGAGGAAAUGAAAUUCGCUGUGAGAUAGGCAUGCGUCCCAUUAGCUAGUUGGUGAGGUAACGGCUCACCAAGGCGACGAUGGGUAGGGGAACUGAGAGGUUGAACCCCCACACUGGUACGGAGACACGGACCAGACUCCUACGGGAGGCAGCAGUGAGGAAUAUUGGGCAAUGGGCGAGAGCCUGAACCAGCCAAGUCGCGUGAAGGAUGACUGUCUUAUGGAUUGUAAACUUCUUUUAUACGGGAAUAACAAGAGUCACGUGUGGCUCCCUGCAUGUACCGUAUGAAUAAGCAUCGGCUAACUCCGUG